CUCUCUCUCUCUCUCUUUCUCUCUCUCUAUCUAUCUAUCUAUCUAUCUAUCUAUCUAUCUAUUUAUCUCUCUGUCUCUCUGUCUCUCUCUCUCUCUCUCUCUCUCUCAAUCUUAAUCUUACUCGCACAUCUUUAAAAUUUCAUGAUCGUCAUUCCUUCGCCGUUUCUCCCGGGGUGUACGAAAUCGGAAUCGUGUCGUAGUUACUCGAAUCGGAUUCUCGUUAACUUAGCAUCUACGUAUCGGAUUUGCGAAACGUGCUCUACAAAGUUGUAUAUCUACAUGCCACGUUACCGUCGGGGCCGGCCACAGAGACACGAGAAUUGCGAGUGUUGGUGACGUGUUAAUUUGCUACCGCUUCGAUUGGUUGCGGAAGGAAGAGAGAGAGAGAGAGAGAGAGAGAGAGAGAUACAGACAGAAAAAAAGAAAAAGAAAGAGGGGGAAAGUACAGAAAAAAAAAUUCAACCAUUUCUCUCUCUCUCUCUCUCUCUCUCUCUUUCUCUUUAUUAAUGUUCAAAAUUUGUCCCUUAUUCUUUAUUAUUUCAUCUUCUUCUUCGUUAAAAACGACAUUUUCCUUCGUACAAGUUGACAAUUAUAAAUUUUCGAACUUUAAUUUCUUUGAAAUUUGCCGGCGCGGUAAAUCCAUUGGAACGCGAGAAAAGUAGGGGAAGGAAGAAGCCGGUCACAGGCGCCGCGAGAAGGAACGAAUUCAUUCCGGGAUAUAUCGUUUCCAAUCGACGAUCACGAGCACACGACCACACGACCAUAACCACGACCACAACCACAACGCAGCUAUGGAUCGUCCUCGAGAAGUCCGACGAACUCUCUUUCUCUCUCUCUCUCUCUCUCUCUCUCUCUCUCUCCUUUUUUUUCUUUUUUUUUUUUUUUAUUUACCCUUUUCCCCUUUUUUUCGGGGAAAAGAUCGUGCGAGAGUUCGUUUGCCUAAGAGAACUCUCUUCGAGAGUUCAUCAAGAUGGAUCAUCGUCUGCUAGAAAAGUUAAGAAGACUAGAGAGAGAGAGAGAGAGAGAGAGAGAGGGAGAGAGAAAGAGAGAAGAGGAGAGAGAAAAGGACAUUCGUAAUUCGAACGUGGCGCUUCGAUUGAGAACGAGGCCCAGUGAUUUUCUAUCUUUAUCUCGCUUUCAUCCUACUCCAAUACCACAAUCCCCCUACACACACCUCUCUCUCUCUCUCUCUCUCUCUCUCUCUCUCUCUCUCUCUCUCUCUCUUUCUCUCUCUUUCUCUCUCUCGGUCGCUCGCUCUUUUCUUUUUUAAUCUAUUUUUACGAUUGUCCUAACAGCUUCUUGAUGGAAACCAUUGCCAAUCGUAACCGAAUCUAUAUCACUGUUUUUUUUUACUUCUUUUCUUUUAUAUUAGAAACUUUUAUGUCUCUCUCUCUCUCUCUCUCUCUUUCUUUCUUUCUUUUUCUUUGUCUCUCUCUCUCUCUCUCUCUCAUCAACCUCAACUACGUUCAGGAUCAUCGGAGCACGUAGUGGUUCUCAUUGGCCAGUAGUCAGUAUGAAACAUUUUGUACGAAUGUUUUAUUGAAGAAGUGAGAGAAGUGAUACGAGAUCUAACCUAACUUUCUUCAUCGAUGCCACUUGUUUCUUAUUGGACGACUACGAUGACGACAAUGGCGACAAUGAUCCUGAUGAUUAUAAUGAUGAUUAUAAUAAUAAUGAUGAUGAUGAUGAUGAUGAUGAUGAUGAUGAUGAUGAUGAUGAUGGUGAUGAUAUGUGGCUGCUGGUGUUCUUCGAUUAUGUUUGGAAAUGACAUUUUGCACGAACUAUUUUCAACGACAUGGAACAUCAGAGUGAAUUUUCGACCACACAGAACAUCAGAGUGAAUUUUCAACGGCAUGAUGUACAUCAUAGCAACCGAAACAAAUGAAGAAUGUUUUCAACGACUUGAAGAUAUGCAUGCUACAUGUUCUUCAAUUACUAAUCGAUCAAACUGGAGAGCGAUGUGACCAGGUUGCGCCAGCAUUUCAACUGGAAAAUUAUUUUCGCUUUCGAUAAAGUAAUGUUUAUAGAAAAAACAGAUCGAUCUUUUAAUCGAGAACAUGUUCUUGAUACGAAAAGCGUUUUGUGCAUUUGUUGAGUUCUGUUUGAAUAAUCUGUUCUGUAGAAUAGAGGAGACAAAUAACAAUUGUAAUUAUACCAAUUCAGAAUAAAUAUUUUUUAUAUAUUAUUAAAUAGGUCUUAUAAAUUAUAGGAUAUUUACUUGUUAUAAUAUACUGUCAUUAUAUCUUUUGUGUCGUACCAUAUAUAAUACUACAUAUAAAAGGAAAAAACAUUUAAUAUUUGGUCUUCUAAUUUGAAGAAUCAUUAUUUCAAUUUAAAUAAAUUAGACAGAAUACGCUCGAUAGUUUUAAUGUAAAAGCUUGCUUAACCGAUAGAUAAUUUAUCGACUGAUAGUAAUGUAACAAAGCUUAUUAUUUAUAAUCAUGUAUAAUUUUAUAUAAUUACAAUAUAUGUAA
This is a long non-coding RNA of Vespa crabro (European hornet), 2474 nucleotides long. RefSeq lists it as uncharacterized. The transcript is spliced from 3 exons. The record is from RefSeq and is a predicted model, not a curated record. Lineage: Eukaryota; Metazoa; Arthropoda; Insecta; Hymenoptera; Vespidae.